This 66-nucleotide transfer RNA is filed under the name Nesophrosyne ponapona. RNAcentral describes it as "tRNA-Val". The record is from RNAcentral. Lineage: Eukaryota; Metazoa; Arthropoda; Insecta; Hemiptera; Cicadellidae.
CAAAUUAUAGCUUAUUCAUAAAGCUUUUUAGUUACAUUAAUAAGAAAACAGUUUUGUUUAGUUUGA